CCAACCGGGAUUCCCCGAGUAAGGGCGACUGAAAGGGGAUCAGCCCAGCGCAUAACCUCACGGUCGUGUUUUGGCUGUUGAGGGGUGUUGCGUUUCGGUGGAUCCGUACUGCUCGAGUUGCUCACCGCCUAAGUCAUUGCUUGAAUGCAGCCCCUAGGAGGGUGGUAGGCCCGUGUGGCGGCGCCUGUAAAAAGGUUGGAGGCAACUUGGGUGGAGGGGUCUUUACCGUAGAGUCGGGUUGCUUAGUACUGCAGCCCUAAGUAGGUGGUAAACUCCAUCUAAGGCUAAAUACUACCACGAGUCCGAUAUUUGACAAGUACCGUGAGGGAAAGCUGAAAAGGACUCUGAAGAGAGAGUUCAAGAGGACGUGAAACCAUUAGAAGCUGAAACGGGUGGAACCGUGAAGGUGGAAAGAGGGCAUUCAGGCCUUAGGUCNUUUGCCAUCCCUGGCUGGGUUGCCUAGAGAGAGAGGACCCGGCGUUAGUGUUAAUUGCCGCGGCCCCUUGCCAGGUUUGUUGGUGGGCUUGAGGCUUUAUUUGUCCCUCUAGUACAGUUGGUGGCGAGCCGCCUUCUGGACCCCGAAGUGCUCUCUAGACUGGUAGCUUGCACCAAUGGUGUAGGUGAUGACUUGAUGAGUUACCGACUGGGUUUGGAGGGCGGUGACUGCAAGGAGGCUGUGAGAGCAGCCUCUCGCCAUGUGAGAGUGAUCGG
This 711-nucleotide ribosomal RNA is filed under the name Macrobrachium brasiliense. RNAcentral's name for it is "eukaryotic LSU rRNA". It matches the Rfam family "Eukaryotic large subunit ribosomal RNA", at positions 65 to 620 of the family's 3401-position model. The record is from RNAcentral. Lineage: Eukaryota; Metazoa; Arthropoda; Malacostraca; Decapoda; Palaemonidae.